RNAcentral lists this transfer-messenger RNA (302 nucleotides) under Candidatus Pelagibacter sp. It matches the Rfam family "Alphaproteobacteria transfer-messenger RNA". Rfam says of the family: Bacterial tmRNA, also known as 10Sa RNA or SsrA, is named for its dual tRNA and mRNA-like properties. Its role is to liberate the mRNA from a stalled ribosome. Lineage: Bacteria; Pseudomonadati; Pseudomonadota; Alphaproteobacteria; Candidatus Pelagibacterales; Candidatus Pelagibacteraceae. The record is from RNAcentral.
UAAAUUGAUAUAUUGUAAUUUAAAUAUAUAUUUUAAAUGUCAGUUUACUGACUACGACGAUAAACGAAUUUCGUAAUAACCAUUACGGACGUGGGGGCAGUACCCACCACCUCCACCAUUUACAGUUAAGGGGGGUGAAAUAGGAUCGACGGGUGACUAAAGGCUAUUCUUUCGUUCGGGAUUGUUCCACCGUAACGGGCUAAACUUUAAAUGCUGACGAAAGUUACGCACUUGCUGCAUAAUUAACUUAGGUUAAUUAUAGAAGCACGGUCUGGGGCACCGGGUAACAGAACGCCCCUACU